This 403-nucleotide ribosomal RNA is filed under the name uncultured bacterium. Its description in RNAcentral is "partial 16S ribosomal RNA". It matches the Rfam family "Bacterial small subunit ribosomal RNA", at positions 30 to 526 of the family's 1533-position model. The record is from RNAcentral.
AUUGAACGCUGGCGGCAGGCCUAACACAUGCAAGUCGAGCGAGCGGCGGACGGGUGAGUAAUGUAUGGGGACUGCCCGAUAGAGGGGGAUAACGACUGGAAACGGUGGCUAAUACCGCAUACUAUCGGAUAACCCAUAUGGGAUUAGCUAGUAGGUGAGGUAACGGCUCACCUAGGGGACGAUCCCUAGCUGGGCUGCGAGGAUGAUCAGCCACACUGGGACUGAAUAACGGCCCAGAAUCCUACGGAGGCAGCAGUGGGGAAUAUUGCCCAAUGGGCGCAAGCCUGAUGCAGCCAUGCCGGGUGUAUGAAGAAGGCGUUCGGGUUGUAAAGUACGUUCAGUCGGUAGGCGUUGCCGACAGAAGAAGCACCGGCUAACUCCGUGCAAGCAGCCGCGGUAAUAC